Molecule: transfer RNA, 65 nt
Filed under: Desmognathus ocoee (Ocoee salamander)
Lineage: Eukaryota; Metazoa; Chordata; Amphibia; Caudata; Plethodontidae
Description: tRNA-Cys
Source: RNAcentral
AAGCCCCGGCAGGAGUUAUUUGCUCUUUAAAGUUUGCAAUUUUAUGUGCUAUACACCACAAGGCU